GGAAUCAUUGGGCGUAAAGCGCGCGUAGGCGGCUCGAUAAGUCUGCUGUGAAAGUCAAAGGCUCAACCUUUGAAAGCCGGUGGAAACUGUCGAGCUAGAGUCCGGAAGAGGCGAGUGGAAUUCCUGGUGUAGCGGUGGAAUGCGCAGAUAUCAGGAAGAACACCAACGGCGAAGGCAGCUCGCUGGGACGGUACUGACGCUAAGGCGCGAAAGCGUGGGGAGCAAACAGGAUUAGAUACCCUGGUAGUCCACGCCGUAAACGAUGGGCACUAGGUGUGGGAGGUGUCGACUCCUCCCGUGCCGACGCUAACGCAUUAAGUGCCCCGCCUGGGGAGUACGGCCGCAAGGCUAAAACUCAAAUGAAUUGACGGA
This 372-nucleotide ribosomal RNA is filed under the name uncultured bacterium. Its description in RNAcentral is "bacterial SSU rRNA". It matches the Rfam family "Bacterial small subunit ribosomal RNA", at positions 547 to 917 of the family's 1533-position model. The record is from RNAcentral.